This 264-nucleotide ribosomal RNA is filed under the name Pseudoalteromonas sp. BMB. RNAcentral describes it as "partial 23S ribosomal RNA". It matches the Rfam family "Bacterial large subunit ribosomal RNA", at positions 492 to 758 of the family's 2925-position model. Lineage: Bacteria; Pseudomonadati; Pseudomonadota; Gammaproteobacteria; Alteromonadales; Pseudoalteromonadaceae. The record is from RNAcentral.
GAACCAGUACCGUGAGGGAAAGGUGAAAAGUACCCCGGAAGGGGAGUGAAAGAGAACUUGAAACCGUGUGCUUACAAGUAGUCAGAGCCCGUUAAUGGGUGAUGGCGUGCCUUUUGUAGAAUGAACCGGCGAGUUACGAUUUGAUGCAAGGUUAAGCAGCUAAUGUGGAGCCGUAGCGAAAGCGAGUCUGAACUGGGCGCUUAAGUUGCAGGGUAUAGACCCGAAUCCCGGUGAUCUAGCCAUGGGCAGGUUGAAGGUUGAGUA